RNAcentral lists this ribosomal RNA (256 nucleotides) under uncultured bacterium. RNAcentral describes it as "partial 16S ribosomal RNA". It matches the Rfam family "Bacterial small subunit ribosomal RNA", at positions 524 to 776 of the family's 1533-position model. The record is from RNAcentral.
UACAGAGGGCGCGAGCGUUGUCCGGAAUCACUGGGCGUAAAGGGCGCGUAGGUGGCCACUAUAAGGCCGCGGUGAAAGUUCGGGGCUCAACCCUGAAUCUGCCGCGGCGACGUGUAGGGCUAGGGCACCGUAGAGGCAGAUGGAAUUCCGGGUGUAGCGGUGGAAUGCGUAGAGAUCCGGAAGAACACCGGUGGCGAAGGCGGUUAGCUGGGCGAGUUGCUGACACUGAGGCGCGACAGCGUGGGGAGCAAACAGG